This 30-nucleotide non-coding RNA is filed under the name Mus musculus (house mouse). The record is from RNAcentral. Lineage: Eukaryota; Metazoa; Chordata; Mammalia; Rodentia; Muridae.
UACAGAGUGAAACUCCGUGAAUUUCUGAGC